This 98-nucleotide ribosomal RNA is filed under the name Escherichia coli. RNAcentral describes it as "partial 16S ribosomal RNA". It matches the Rfam family "Bacterial small subunit ribosomal RNA", at positions 1 to 94 of the family's 1533-position model. RNAcentral also lists the same sequence under 23 other names. Lineage: Bacteria; Pseudomonadati; Pseudomonadota; Gammaproteobacteria; Enterobacterales; Enterobacteriaceae. The record is from RNAcentral.
AAAUUGAAGAGUUUGAUCAUGGCUCAGAUUGAACGCUGGCGGCAGGCCUAACACAUGCAAGUCGAACGGUAACAGGAAGCAGCUUGCUGCUUCGCUGA